UCCACAGAGGUUCAGCUCCCAGCUCACCCCUCUCAAGGAAAUCUCCUCGCCCUUCUAGCUCUUCAAAACUCCUCGUAGCGACGCGAUGUCCUGCAGGAGAACUUCAACCAGCUUCUGAGCACACGGCUCGACAGAAUCGCGAAUGCAGAACUCUACAACCACAAAGCCAGGAGACAUCACAGAACUGCAAACUGAACAGCAACUUUCUUUUCCUCUUUCCCUCGGACUGAGGUGCAGCUCCCAGUUCACCCCUCUCAAGGAAAUCUCCUCGCCCUUCUAGCUCUUCAAAACUCCUCGUAGCGACGCGAUGUCCUGCAGGAGAACUUCAACCAGCUUCUGAGCACACGGCUCGACAGAAUCGCGAAUGCAGAACUCUACAACCACAAAGCCAGGAGACAUCACAGAACUGCAAACUGAACAGCAACUUUCUUUUCCUCUUUCCCUCGGACUGGUAACAUAAUCUGGGCUUAAUAAUUAUACAUGCUAAGCAAGACUGUUUACUCAAUUCUGUGUGUUUUCAAGUUUGAUAUAUGCUGUGACGUUGAAGGUAUAAGUUAAAUGAAGGUUAAUGCUAGUUAGGCUCGCCACAGGCUUUGUCCCUGACUCUAUCCUUAUCUGAUUAACAUCCACACAGACACGCAUGGCAUCUCACCAAGUUAAACCUUCCCCCUCAGCCAUAAACCAACGGCCCACAGAAGAGGGGGCACACACACACCUCCUUGUUAGUUUGAUUGUUUAGUAAUUUGUGUUUUUAUACUUUAUUAUGUUAAUAUUAAUGUUCGUCUUUCACAAAUGUCUGUCAUUAAUAUUGCAUAAGUGAAUUUUGCCAACCGUAACACUGUUAAGAACUCCAUAACCUUCCCUGUUCAUUAUAUAAUCUUUAAUGGUAAAAUAUUGAGAUUUCUAAUUGAAAUAGAUCUAAAUGAGACUGGUGCCCCGCGAGAACUUUAACCAAUUAAAGUUAUGAUUUAAUAUUAAUAUUUUAAAUAUCAAUGUUUUAUAUUUUAUUUUGAUUUCCAAAUUUAUUGAGUGCAUAAAGGCACACCAUUCUAUGGAAACACUUUUUAAGCACUAUUGCACAACAUAAAUGGUGCAGCCCGUGUGAGGCAGAGUAAAGUUGGCAAAAACUUCAUGACUAUGCAAUAUUAAUGUGUUUUAAAUUUUUGGCAAAAGCCAGAAAUUGGUGAAUUUGGAAUUUUCAGUCAAGCCAGAGGCUUGAAUUCAAUUCCACUAGUCUGCUACCGGAGUAGACAUUCAACCGUAUUUACAAACAAGUGCAUUGUGGUGAAAUUUAAUUUACUCAUAAAUUAAAUGUUUAUUAAUAAUUAAUUAUUAAGAACUACCACUUUAAGUCCCAUAUUGUUACCCUAAAAGAUUGCUAUUGUUGCUAAUAAUACUAGUUGAACGUUCUUUGUUGAAAUUUUAAGAAUUUCUUUUAACAUUUGAAUAUCACAUAUUCAAUGUUAACUGGUCAAGCUGCAAAAUUGCCUGUAACUGUUAAAGGCUGUUGAAUUAAGACAUAGCUUACCCUAUGUAACAGAGCUUGUACCUGGCUGUUACUGCCUAGCAUAUCAGCCUAAGUUGGAUAAGAGAACAUGAGAAAGAGCCACAGCAUGCUUACAGCUCUGUGAAUUUAUAGAACCCCUAACUGUUACUGCCCUGCAUAUCAGUUAGUGUGAUUCAAAGUUUGGUGAAUUGUUUUACUCUACAUAGUUUUGGUUAGGCUAGUGUGUGAUCAAAUCCACACUACAAGGUGUCUGCCAUCGCAACACCAAAGCCAACCACACUGUUGUUGAUUUAUAAACUUAAAUCUAAUCCUUACAUUACUGAUUCAACAAUGGAGAACCCCUUUGUAGAACAGUUUGUUUCUUCCCUAGCAACGAGCCUGACCCCCGGCUAUCCUGAAUUCAUCAACAAGUUGAACUUCAAUGAGUGUAAUAAAGAAAUAUAUUCUCUACUUAAUGACAGGUGUGAUGCUCAAACAGCAUCAAAGGGUCCAUUGUUGAAAUGUAUGAUUCUUAAUUUCCACAGGCAAAUCAACCUUGCCUGUCAGAGCAAAGCAGCCAUGGAACAGGAGGUACAGUGCCUUGCAUAAGUAUUCACCCCCUUUGGACUUUUCUACAUUUUGUCAUGGUAUAACCACAGAUUAAAAUUUAUUUCAUCGUGAGUUUAUGUAAUGGACCAACACAAAAUAGUGCAUCAUUUGGAAGUGGGGGGAAAUAUUACAUGGAUUUCACAAUUGUUUAUAAAUAAAAAUCUGAAAAGUG
Long non-coding RNA from Pleuronectes platessa (European plaice), 2267 nucleotides. RefSeq lists it as uncharacterized. Lineage: Eukaryota; Metazoa; Chordata; Actinopteri; Pleuronectiformes; Pleuronectidae. The record is from RefSeq and is a predicted model, not a curated record. The transcript has 2 exons.